Molecule: long non-coding RNA, 2719 nt
Organism: Bombina bombina (fire-bellied toad)
Lineage: Eukaryota; Metazoa; Chordata; Amphibia; Anura; Bombinatoridae
Exons: 2
Source: RefSeq, a predicted model, not a curated record
UAUGUAAAACCUUAUUCCUUAUUGCAAUGUUUUAAUAUACAGGCAGUAAUUGAGCAUAUUCCCUAUGGCUGCCACAUGUGUCUGGGUAGUCACUGUGAGAAAGUAAAUGCAGCAGGGAUAUGCUCAGAUAAACCUGAGAUUUUACCAUUAAUGAAGGAAAAAAUAAAUAAGCAAGGAAAAAAUGGUACUAUGAUCAUAGAAAAAAAAUAAGCAAUUGCUAUUGUGUACAGAGUUAUGGUAAAACAGCAGGAUAUGAGGGAAUGAAAAUAAAAGUCACAGAAAAAUAACAGCAGCAACUGAGAUACUAAUCUUAGAGUAUAGCAGCAAAGUAAAAUACAGAGACUGGCUUACCCCUAACAGGACUGUUAUAAUGAUAGUUGCAAACACCGGGUUGUAAUGGCGACUUGCCAGAGGGAGCAGGGAAGCUCAGUAGCAGCUGGCUGAUGACGUCACAGCAUGAGGAAGUGGAGCUCAGUGAAAAUUGAAUCCCAAGGCCGGUGAGCUGCAGGGGAAACUGAGUUAGAGGGGUCCUGGACAGGCCACUGAAAAAAGGCAUAAUCUGCCCCCUACCAGAAGAGAAUAUGGGUUGGUGGCCGCACCUUCAUACUGAAUUGGAAGGGGAGGAAGGUUUAUUAGAUGCUUCAGGGUGUGCAGAGAGGAAUUUGAAUAGAGCUGUCCAGAAACACAAUACAUGUUUCUUCCUUUGUAUCUCAUAAGUGUCCAGGACAACAUGCCUGCUAAAAAACUGGACUGUCCAAUAAAAUACUGGACACCUGGCAACCCUAUCCAAGGGUCAGAAGUUGAAUCCCAGGAAUAAUGGCUUGGAGUCUCUCACCACAUUAUGAAAGAAUAAAAAAAGUUGCCUCUAAUGUCCCUUUAACCCCUUCACUAUCGGGACUUUCAAAAAAGAACUUGCCCAAAAUACCACAGAAUGUUUAGCAUUUUUCUAUCACUCCAUCUAAACAGAAAUAGCGCCUUUGGUUUUUUUUUUAUUUACCUGUCCAAACUAUAUAUAUUUCUUUCCUAUGACAUGGAGAGUCCACAACGUCAUUCCAAUUAAUUAUGGGAUAUUCAAUUCCUGUCCAGCAGGAGAUGGCAAAGAGCACCCCAGCAAAGCUGUUAAGUGUAACUUCCCUUACCCAUAAUCCCGAGUCAUUCUCUUUGCCUCUGUCAAUGGAGGUUGUGCGAAGUUGGUGUCUGAAGAUAAUAAUCCUUUUAUGGGUACUUUCCCUGCAAGCAAGGAUUGGGGUCUAGCUGUGUCCAUGUCAAUCUUUUGAGUAAAGUAAGUGGUGGCUUUUAGCAGUUAGAAGACGGGGAUGAAGUCUUUGCUUUACUUCUAAUAUUUUGGUACCCCUUUGUAGAAAGCCAGGGUUAGUUACUCUUUUACUACAGGUUCAUGACGGGGACAGGAGUACCGUUCACACCUAAGUAGCUGUUACCUGCCCUGCAGCUGGAUCCACAGGUAAGUGCAUUUUCCUUCUAGGUUCUGAAGGAUAGCACUUUAGAGGUAAAACCUCUAGUGGAUCUAAUUUGGGACAUAGAUUAACUAAAUUGUCUUAGAUACUUUUUUGGGGCAGAUUUGCAGGCACAUUGUAUGCUUAACUCAGGCAUGUAGAGAGACUAAGGGGUUAAUAUUAAGCUGUGUGCUUAAGACUUAACCUUAUAUGACAAAAUGUAUUGGAAGGGUUUGUCCUUUAAGUGUUUAUUGUUAAAUACGUAUGGCAAGGGGCAGAUUUGUUUGAUUUGGAGUCCAGAAGAAUAUAUAGGCUGUUACGGUUACGAUAUGGUUUUUACUAUUGAGCCGUUUGUAAUACGUGCCUUUUUAACUGUGACUUGUGGCACAGUUUCUCUUUUACUCUCAGCCCGCUCACGUGACUCUCCGCUCUUCCGUAUGUAUGAGGAGCGGAGUUUAGUCAGUCAUUGAGCCUGGACUGCUGCGGCUAUCUUUUCUGAUGAUCGGAUUGCCGGUCUGAACUUGUGAAUCUCUCAUCUCACCUGGAGAGUUCCCUUGCUAGUGUAUUAUUCGACUCUCAGUAUGGUAAGAGCCUCAGACACUCUUAGGUUUUUUGUUAAAGUGAUAGGUGCCUUUUUUUAUCUUAUAUUUUUAAAAGUUUUCAAAGUUUUUUUCAGUUAAUUUAUUAGUUCUGUAUAUACUAUAAAUUUUAUUUUUAUUUUUUGUGGGAACUGAUAUCUGCAAUGGAAUGUGAAAAAGAUUCUUCUUUUAAAAUGGAUAAAUGUUUACUUUGCUGGAAGUCCUAAUUGUACUACCUAUGCAAUUUUGUUCCAAUUGCUUAGCUAAGACCUUAAAAUAUAAGGACAAACUAAUCCCUUGUGAACCUAAUGUCUUUCAGGAUAUGGCUGUUCUGGAAAUGCCUCAGCUUUCUCCUCAAACGUCCCAAGCCUUAUCAGUUUCACAUACAGUGCCUUACAUGUCCCCUCAACCUCCUGGGGCUGUUUAUUUGCCAGGGGAUUUUGUUGUGCAGAUAACUUCUGCGGUAUCAGCGGCUUUGUCUCCAGCAGUGCAUUGCUGCUCCUUCAACAAAUUAUACCAAGAGAAUGAAGCAAAUUUGAUAAUAGAAGUAAAUUGAAGUUGUUUAAAAUUGUAUGUUCUACCUAAAUCAUGAAAUAACUUUUUUUGGGUUUCAUGUCCCUUUAAGUAAAGGAAACAUGUUAAAGCAUAUUUAUGCAAUAUUGAUAUUUAAUAAAGUGUUAUACUGUG